This 357-nucleotide ribosomal RNA is filed under the name uncultured soil bacterium. RNAcentral's name for it is "bacterial SSU rRNA". It matches the Rfam family "Bacterial small subunit ribosomal RNA", at positions 26 to 408 of the family's 1533-position model. The record is from RNAcentral.
AGAACGAACGCUGGCGGCAUGCCUAAUACAUGCAAGUCGAACGAACACUUCGGUGUUAGUGGCGCACGGGUGCGUAACGCGUGGGAAUCUGCCCUUGGGUUCGGAAUAACAGUUGGAAACGACUGGCUAAUACCGGAUGAUAUCGAAAGAUCAAAGAUUUAUCGCCCAGGGAUGAGCCCGCGUAGGAUUAGCUAGUUGGUGAGGUAAAGGCUCACCAAGGCGACGAUCCUUAGCUGGUCUGAGAGGAUGAUCAGCCACACUGGGACUGAGACACGGCCCAGACUCCGUACGGGAGCAGCAGUAGGGAAUAGUGGACAAUGGGCGCAAGCCUGAUCCAGCAAUCGCCGCGUCGAGUGA